GAGCUCGUAUCUCAGUGGAUUAGAGUUUAUGGCUACGGACCAUAAUGUCGGGGGUUCGAAUCCCUCCGAGCUCA
Molecule: transfer RNA, 74 nt
Filed under: Nephromyces sp. ex Molgula occidentalis
Lineage: Eukaryota; Apicomplexa; Aconoidasida; Nephromycida
Description: tRNA-Arg
Rfam family: tRNA
About the family: Transfer RNA (tRNA) molecules are approximately 80 nucleotides in length.
Source: RNAcentral